Non-coding RNA from Biomphalaria pfeifferi, 683 nucleotides. The record is from the annotation of a GenBank genome assembly. Lineage: Eukaryota; Metazoa; Mollusca; Gastropoda; Planorbidae.
UACAAUAUAAAAUGGUACAAAACAUUGAUGUAUAUAUUGCAUAGGCAUAUAGUACAACAUAUCUAUCAACACACUGGACUACAAAUCUAUCAACACACAUCAAGUUGGGAUGGAUGGAAAGUAUAAUGUUGGUUUAUAAGAAAACUGUUUUAAAUUUAUUCAUACCUUUUUAAAGCUUAUAAAUAAAUGUGUACAUAUCCUCUGCAAUAUAAGAAUUGAACUGUAGGAGAUUGUAGACUGUAAUAUUUUAAACACAUCAUGGCAUCUUUUGUAAGUCUAUUCUUUUGUUUCUAUCUCCAGAUAUAUUCUUUUUUUUUGUUCACACACAAAAAGUUUUUUUUUCUUUAUGUAUGUGAGUUAUGCCAAAAGUUUAAGCUAAUUUUAACCUAGGACAAUGCAACCAUUUAGAUGUCAUUAAAACCUUUGUUCAUUGGCCUUAUGUACCAGAGCUGUAAAGUAACAAUAUCUGUUCCCAUGUGUAUAUUAUAGCCCAACUUCUGGCCUUUGUAAAGUCAAAGUUUAUGGAUGUAAUUCUUUGUUGUAAGUAUAUCACAUAUCUAUCCCUACAAUGUCCACUUGUGUGGUUUCGUCUCUUACCAAUUAGUUUUGAAAACUGUCCAAUAAAGAAUGUAUUUAUUUGUAAAAAUAAAAAUGUCAAACAAUUCAAUUCCAUAAAUCUCAAA